Molecule: ribosomal RNA, 520 nt
Filed under: Brevibacterium sp. CMT114
Lineage: Bacteria; Bacillati; Actinomycetota; Actinomycetes; Micrococcales; Brevibacteriaceae
Description: bacterial SSU rRNA
Rfam family: Bacterial small subunit ribosomal RNA
Source: RNAcentral
UGGGGAAUAUUGCACAAUGGGGGAAACCCUGAUGCAGCGACGCAGCGUGCGGGAUGACGGCCUUCGGGUUGUAAACCGCUUUCAGCAGGGAAGAAGCGCAAGUGACGGUACCUGCAGAAGAAGUACCGGCUAACUACSUGCCAGCAGCCGCGGUAAUACGUAGGGUACGAGCGUUGUCCGGAAUUAUUGGGCGUAAAGAGCUCGUAGGUGGUUGGUCACGUCUGCUGUGGAAACSCAACGCUUAACGUUGCGCGUGCAGUGGGUACGGGCUGACUAGAGUGCAGUAGGGGAGUCUGGAAUUCCUGGUGUAGCGGUGAAAUGCGCAGAUAUCAGGAGGAACACCGGUGGCGAAGGCGGGACUCUGGGCUGUAACUGACACUGAGGAGCGAAAGCAUGGGGAGCGAACAGGAUUAGAUACCCUGGUAGUCCAUGCCGUAAACGUUGGGCACUAGGUGUGGGGGGCAUUCCACGUUCUCCGCGCCGUAGCUAACGCAUUAAGUGCCCCGCCUGGGGAGUACGG